GACGAGGGGUCCUAGCGUUGUUCGGAAUCACUGGGCGUAAAGCGUAUGUAGGCGGGCUUUUAAGUCAGGUGUGAAAUCCCAUGGCUCAACCAUGGAAUUGCAUUUGAAACUGGAAGUCUUGAGUGUGGGAGAGAUUGGUAGAAUACCUGGUGUAGUGGUGAAAUAUGUAGAUAUCAGGUGGAAUACCGGUGGCGAAGGCGGCCAAUUGGCCCAACACUGACGCUGAGAUACGAAAGCGUGGGGAUCAAACAGG
RNAcentral lists this ribosomal RNA (253 nucleotides) under uncultured bacterium. RNAcentral describes it as "partial 16S ribosomal RNA". It matches the Rfam family "Bacterial small subunit ribosomal RNA", at positions 524 to 776 of the family's 1533-position model. The record is from RNAcentral.